RNAcentral lists this long non-coding RNA (309 nucleotides) under Ictidomys tridecemlineatus (thirteen-lined ground squirrel). Its description in RNAcentral is "lncRNA (ENSSTOG00000032580.1)". Lineage: Eukaryota; Metazoa; Chordata; Mammalia; Rodentia; Sciuridae. The record is from RNAcentral.
GUGUGUGUGUGUGUGUGUGUGUCUCACUCUUCUGUUCUUUUUCUCUUUCUUUUAGGACCUGUUCAAUGAAUACCUACUAUGUGCCAAGCCCUCUCCUAGGCCCUGAGUAAUAAACCAGACAGAAGUCCUUAGCCCUUUGAGCUUCCACUGGUGAACUUCUCCACCCAAGGCCUCUUCCUGUGAAAUACUCCUAAUACCUCCAAAAUCCAGCUGGGUCAGCAUCCCCACAGCCCCUGCCAAAGGAACCUCUAGAGAAAGACACCUGCCCCCAUUCUGUUCUGCUUUUCUCCAUAGCAACCAUCACCACCU